This 2927-nucleotide ribosomal RNA is filed under the name Pluralibacter gergoviae. Its description in RNAcentral is "bacterial LSU rRNA". It matches the Rfam family "Bacterial large subunit ribosomal RNA". The record is from RNAcentral. Lineage: Bacteria; Pseudomonadati; Pseudomonadota; Gammaproteobacteria; Enterobacterales; Enterobacteriaceae.
GGGUUGUGAGGUUAAGCGACUAAGCGUACACGGUGGAUGCCCUGGCAGUCAGAGGCGAUGAAGGACGUGCUAAUCUGCGAAAAGCGCCGGCGAGGUGAUAUGAACCUUUGACCCGGCGAUGUCCGAAUGGGGAAACCCAGUGCAAUUCGUUGCACUAUCGUUAACUGAAUACAUAGGUUAACGAGGCGAACCGGGGGAACUGAAACAUCUAAGUACCCCGAGGAAAAGAAAUCAACCGAGAUUCCCCCAGUAGCGGCGAGCGAACGGGGAGCAGCCCAGAGUCUGAAUCAGCGUGUGUGUUAGUGGAAGCGUCUGGAAAGUCGCACGAUACAGGGUGAAAGUCCCGUACACGAAAAUGCACAUGCUGUGAACUCGAAGAGUAGGGCGGGACACGUGGUAUCCUGUCUGAAUAUGGGGGGACCAUCCUCCAAGGCUAAAUACUCCUGACUGACCGAUAGUGAACCAGUACCGUGAGGGAAAGGCGAAAAGAACCCCGGCGAGGGGAGUGAAAAAGAACCUGAAACCGUGUACGUACAAGCAGUGGGAGCACCCUUCGGGGUGUGACUGCGUACCUUUUGUAUAAUGGGUCAGCGACUUAUAUUCUGUAGCAAGGUUAACCGCAUAGGGGAGCCGAAGGGAAACCGAGUCUUAACUGGGCGUUAAGUUGCAGGGUAUAGACCCGAAACCCGGUGAUCUAGCCAUGGGCAGGUUGAAGGUUGGGUAACACUAACUGGAGGACCGAACCGACUAAUGUUGAAAAAUUAGCGGAUGACCUGUGGCUGGGGGUGAAAGGCCAAUCAAACCGGGAGAUAGCUGGUUCUCCCCGAAAGCUAUUUAGGUAGCGCCUCGUGAACUCAUCUUCGGGGGUAGAGCACUGUUUCGGCUAGGGGGUCAUCCCGACUUACCAACCCGAUGCAAACUGCGAAUACCGAAGAAUGUUAUCACGGGAGACACACGGCGGGUGCUAACGUCCGUCGUGAAGAGGGAAACAACCCAGACCGCCAGCUAAGGUCCCAAAGUCAUGGUUAAGUGGGAAACGAUGUGGGAAGGCCCAGACAGCCAGGAUGUUGGCUUAGAAGCAGCCAUCAUUUAAAGAAAGCGUAAUAGCUCACUGGUCGAGUCGGCCUGCGCGGAAGAUGUAACGGGGCUAAACCAUGCACCGAAGCUGCGGCAGCGACGCUUGUGCGUUGUUGGGUAGGGGAGCGUUCUGUAAGCCGUCGAAGGUGGCCUGUGAGGGCUGCUGGAGGUAUCAGAAGUGCGAAUGCUGACAUAAGUAACGAUAAAGCGGGUGAAAAGCCCGCUCGCCGGAAGACCAAGGGUUCCUGUCCAACGUUAAUCGGGGCAGGGUGAGUCGACCCCUAAGGCGAGGCCGAAAGGCGUAGUCGAUGGGAAACAGGUUAAUAUUCCUGUACUUGGUGUUACUGCGAAGGGGGGACGGAGAAGGCUAUGUUAGCCGGGCGACGGUUGUCCCGGUUUAAGCAUGUAGGCGGAGGUUCCAGGUAAAUCCGGUACCUUUUAACGCUGAGGUGUGAUGACGAGGCACUACGGUGCUGAAGUAACAAAUGCCCUGCUUCCAGGAAAAGCCUCUAAGCUCCAGGUAACACGAAAUCGUACCCCAAACCGACACAGGUGGUCAGGUAGAGAAUACCAAGGCGCUUGAGAGAACUCGGGUGAAGGAACUAGGCAAAAUGGUGCCGUAACUUCGGGAGAAGGCACGCUGACAUGUAGGUGAAGCCCCUGCGGGUGGAGCUGAAGUCAGUCGAAGAUACCAGCUGGCUGCAACUGUUUAUUAAAAACACAGCACUGUGCAAACACGAAAGUGGACGUAUACGGUGUGACGCCUGCCCGGUGCCGGAAGGUUAAUUGAUGGGGUUAUCCGUAAGGAGAAGCUCUUGAUCGAAGCCCCGGUAAACGGCGGCCGUAACUAUAACGGUCCUAAGGUAGCGAAAUUCCUUGUCGGGUAAGUUCCGACCUGCACGAAUGGCGUAAUGAUGGCCAGGCUGUCUCCACCCGAGACUCAGUGAAAUUGAACUCGCUGUGAAGAUGCAGUGUACCCGCGGCAAGACGGAAAGACCCCGUGAACCUUUACUAUAGCUUGACACUGAACAUUGAGCCUUGAUGUGUAGGAUAGGUGGGAGGCUUUGAAGCGUGGACGCCAGUCUGCGUGGAGCCAACCUUGAAAUACCACCCUUUAAUGUUUGAUGUUCUAACCUGGCGCCGUGAUCCGGCGUGGGGACAGUGUCUGGUGGGUAGUUUGACUGGGGCGGUCUCCUCCUAAAGAGUAACGGAGGAGCACGAAGGUUGGCUAAUCCUGGUCGGACAUCAGGAGGUUAGUGCAAUGGCAUAAGCCAGCUUGACUGCGAGCGUGACGGCGCGAGCAGGUGCGAAAGCAGGUCAUAGUGAUCCGGUGGUUCUGAAUGGAAGGGCCAUCGCUCAACGGAUAAAAGGUACUCCGGGGAUAACAGGCUGAUACCGCCCAAGAGUUCAUAUCGACGGCGGUGUUUGGCACCUCGAUGUCGGCUCAUCACAUCCUGGGGCUGAAGUAGGUCCCAAGGGUAUGGCUGUUCGCCAUUUAAAGUGGUACGCGAGCUGGGUUUAGAACGUCGUGAGACAGUUCGGUCCCUAUCUGCCGUGGGCGCUGGAGAAUUGAGGGGGGCUGCUCCUAGUACGAGAGGACCGGAGUGGACGCAUCACUGGUGUUCGGGUUGUCAUGCCAAUGGCAUUGCCCGGUAGCUACAUGCGGAAGAGAUAAGUGCUGAAAGCAUCUAAGCACGAAACUUGCCCCGAGAUGAGUUCUCCCUGAGACUUAGAGUCUCCUGAAGGAACGUUGAAGACGACGACGUUGAUAGGCCGGGUGUGUAAGCGCAGCGAUGCGUUGAGCUAACCGGUACUAAUGAACCGUGAGGCUUAACCUUACAACGCCGAAG